AGAGUUUGAUCCUGGCUCAGGAUUAACGCUGGCGGCGUGCCUAACACAUGCAAGUCGAACGAGGUAGCAAUACCUAGUGGCAGACGGGUGAGUAACGCGUGGUCAACCUACCGUUGAGUGGGGGAUAACUAACCGAAAGGUUAGCUAAUACCGCAUACGUAUCCGGGGGGCAUCCCCUGGUUAUAAAAGGAGCAAUCCGCUCGAUGACGGGACCGCGUCCCAUUAGCUAGUUGGUGGGGUAACGGCCUACCAAGGCUCCGAUGGGUAGCUGGUUUGAGAGAGCGACCAGCCACACUGGGACUGAGAAACGGCCCAGACUCCUACGGGAGGCAGCAGUGAGGAAUUUUCCGCAAUGGGCGAAAGCCUGACGGAGCGACGCCGCGUGUGGGAAAGGAAGGCCUUCGGGUCG
RNAcentral lists this ribosomal RNA (409 nucleotides) under uncultured bacterium. Its description in RNAcentral is "bacterial SSU rRNA". It matches the Rfam family "Bacterial small subunit ribosomal RNA", at positions 8 to 425 of the family's 1533-position model. The record is from RNAcentral.